Molecule: long non-coding RNA, 245 nt
Organism: Mytilus trossulus (common blue mussel)
Lineage: Eukaryota; Metazoa; Mollusca; Bivalvia; Mytilida; Mytilidae
Exons: 3
Source: RefSeq, a predicted model, not a curated record
GUUUUUUGUCCAUGAAUUUACAAGUUUUGAACAGCGGUAAACUGCUGUUGCCUUUAUUAAACGCAUUCGAUGGAAAACAUCCACAUACAGACUUUCAGGUGCAGACGGUUGCAGGUGCGGGAAAUCAUUGGACCUAAAAGGAACGUCAAGGAUGCAUUCGAAACUCGCAAUCGGGAGGAUAAACAGUGUUAACAGAUUGUGGACGGACAGACGGACGUACGAACUGAAAACUAUUGGGUUCCAAA